This 470-nucleotide ribosomal RNA is filed under the name uncultured prokaryote. Its description in RNAcentral is "bacterial SSU rRNA". It matches the Rfam family "Bacterial small subunit ribosomal RNA", at positions 100 to 592 of the family's 1533-position model. The record is from RNAcentral.
GGACGGGUGAGUAAUGUAUAGUUAAUCUGCCCUUUAGAGGGGGAUAACAGUUAGAAAUGACUGCUAAUACCCCAUACACCUUUUGCCUUAAUGGUAAUUGGGAAAUGUUUUUUCGCUAAAGGAUGAGACUAUAUGGUAUCAGGUAGUUGGUGGGGUAAGAGCCCACCAAGCCAAUGACGCCUAGCUGGUCUGAGAGGAUGAUCAGCCACACUGGAACUGAGACACGGUCCAGACUCCUACGGGAGGCAGCAGUGGGGAAUAUUGCACAAUGGGGGAAACCCUGAUGCAGCAACGCCGCGUGGAGGAUGACACAUUUCGGUGCGUAAACUCCUUUUAUAUGGGAAGAUAAUGACGGUACCAUAUGAAUAAGCACCGGCUACUCCGUGCCAGCAGCCGCGGUAUACGGAGGGUGCAAGCGUUACUCGGAAUCACUGGGCGUAAAGCGCGCGCAGGCGGCCUGAUAAGUUGGA